Molecule: ribosomal RNA, 492 nt
Filed under: uncultured bacterium
Lineage: Bacteria
Description: partial 16S ribosomal RNA
Rfam family: Bacterial small subunit ribosomal RNA
Source: RNAcentral
AGUGAACGCUGGCGGUAGGCCUAACACAUGCAAGUCGAACGGCAGCACAGUAAGAGCUUUCUCUUACUGGUGGCGAGUGGCGGACGGGUAAGGCAUACAUCGGAUUCUACUUUUUCUUGGGGGAUAACGUAGGGAAGCUUCCGCUAAUACCGCAUACUACCUACGGGUGAAAGCAGGAGAUCUUCGGACCUUGCGCGAUUGAAUGAGCCGAUGUCGGAUUAGCUAGUUGGCGGGGUAACGGCCCACCAAGGCGACGAUCCGUAGCUGGUCUGAGAGGAUGAUCAGCCACACUGGAACUGAGACACGGUCCAGACUCCUACGAGAGGCAGCAGUGGGGAAUAUUGGACAAUGGGCGCAAGCCUGAUCCAGCAAUACCGCGUGGGUGAAGAAGGCCUUCGGGUUGUAAAGCCCUUUUGUUGGGAAAGAAAAGCAGCAGGUUAAUACCCCGCUGUUCUGACGGUACCCAAAGAAUAAGCACCGGCUAACUUCGUG